UACUUGAGAUUUCCUUUAAAUGCAGCCCAAACAUUCCAACCAGUUGACUAUCCAGUACAAGCAGUAAUAGCAAGGUUUGUGUUGAACUUAUUGAACUGCAAGGCAUGUCUCAAGGAGGUCAUUUUUGUGGUGUGCAGAGUAGUGUAUGAUCUCUAACUCUGGUAGUCUGGGCACAGAAUUAAUGAGAGGUUUCAUGUGUAUCUAAAAGAACGUUUUUUUCCCCCCGAGAAUUUAUUACCCUUGUUUUAUCAUGUGCUCUCUAAGCUAUUCAAGUUGGUGGUCUGAAUGGUAACUUCAAAAUUUCUCUUAAAAGCUCUCCUUGGGGCUCGUGUACCUUUCUGUGUGCUAUAUUUCGAUGAAAGAAAAACAACUCUGUUUAAGUCUCACUUUCUCCAGGAUGAAUUUAACAUACCCAUCGCCCUGUAUCUUUGGCAUUUCCUGAAACACUCAGCACUUAAGAAGCCUGUACCGUGAUCUCGGGAACUGGCGAACUGUACUUUAGUGAAAGGAGCGCUAGACUCAGUCAGCGUCCCUGACUCUACAGUUCAUUCUUGGUUCUUUCAGAUGCUGUGAUGUUGACAGCUGCUAUAUCCGUCUUGAAAAUGAGAAGACAAGCCCCAGGAAAAAGGCUUUCUACUGAACAUAGCAGAAAAGAAAUAUGAAAAUGAGUUGAGUCCUUUGUGGAUGAAAAAAGGGUCACAUACUAACCCUGACAAGCUCAGGGAAUCCCUACAAACUCAGAGACCAAAAGUAAUCAUGUGGGAUGGUCAGAACACAAAAGUUCUUAACUGAAAGUGGGCUGUGGUAGGUGGUCAAGUUCUGGGCCUGUAACUUACUUGGCAAAGGUCAAUUUUUACCCUAAGUGAGCCCAUCUAUCACCGUUUUGCAUCUAAGAGAACAUAUCUUUGAAAUGUCAAAUCUUUUUCAGACCCCUCAGGGCACAACCACUGCACCAGACCACAGAACCCCUCGUGGUUAUUUCGUUCCCAGGAUACCAUCUCUAUGUGCUGUAAAUGUUAAUUAUUAAUUAUCCUGUACCCACCAAUGUAAGAGAAGUAUGUAUUUCUCUGUUUUACUUUUUAUCCAGUCUCAGAGAUUUCCCUGCUUUUCUCUCACACCGUUAAGAUACCACCGAUGGAUUUCAUAUGACCCUCCUUACAUCUCCUCCUUUGAUACUAAUGUAUAAAAUAAGUGGCAAUACUUUCAGUUUCUGGGAUAUUUUCUCAAUCUGUUGAGAUUUUGCUUCCCGGCAAUUGUUGCCAGUUUUUGGCCACACUGGACAAAUAAACUCAUAAAAAUUCUUUA
Pteropus alecto (black flying fox) is the source of this 1305-nucleotide long non-coding RNA. RefSeq lists it as uncharacterized. The record is from RefSeq and is a predicted model, not a curated record. The transcript is spliced from 2 exons. NCBI's taxonomy places the organism in Eukaryota, Metazoa, Chordata, Mammalia, Chiroptera, Pteropodidae.